CCUACGGGAGGCAGCAGUGAGGAAUAUUGGUCAAUGGGCUUACGCCUGAACCAGCCAAGUCGCGUGAGGGAAGACUGCCCUAUGGUUUGUAAACCUCUUUUGUCAGGGAGAAACGCCGGCUACGUGUAGCCGGACUGAGAGUACCUGAAGAAAAAGCAUCGGCUAAGUCCGUGCCAGCAGCCGCGGUAAUACGGAGGAUGCGAGCGUGAUCCGGAUGUAUUGGGGUUAAAGGGUGCGUAGGCGGAAUGCCAAGUGAGCGGUAAAACCGCGGGGUCAAACCGCGCUCUGCCGUUGAAACUGGCGUUCUUGAGUGGGCGAGAAGUAAGCGGAAUGCGUGGUGUAGCGGUGGAAUGCGUAGAUAUCAGGAAGAACUCCGAUUGCGAAGGCAGGAUACCGGCGCCCAACUGACGCUGAAGAACGAAAGCGUGGGGAGCGAACAGGAUUAGAUACCCUAGUAGUC
Molecule: ribosomal RNA, 460 nt
Filed under: uncultured bacterium
Lineage: Bacteria
Description: partial 16S ribosomal RNA
Rfam family: Bacterial small subunit ribosomal RNA
Source: RNAcentral